RNAcentral lists this ribosomal RNA (253 nucleotides) under uncultured bacterium. RNAcentral describes it as "partial 16S ribosomal RNA". It matches the Rfam family "Bacterial small subunit ribosomal RNA", at positions 524 to 776 of the family's 1533-position model. The record is from RNAcentral.
AACGUAGGACGCAAGCGUUAUCCGGAGUUACUGGGCGUAAAGAGCGUGUAGGCGGCCAUGCAGGUCCGUUGUGAAAACUCGAGGCUCAACCUCGAGACGUCGAUGGAAACCGCAUGGCUAGAGUCCGGAAGAGGAGAGUGGAAUUCCUGGUGUAGCGGUGAAAUGCGCAGAUAUCAGGAAGAACACCCGUGGCGAAGGCGGCUCUCUGGGACGGUACUGACGCUGAGACGCGAAAGCGUGGGGAGCGAACAGG